This 28-nucleotide non-coding RNA is filed under the name Rattus norvegicus (Norway rat). The record is from RNAcentral. Lineage: Eukaryota; Metazoa; Chordata; Mammalia; Rodentia; Muridae.
UGGCCACAAGUGCUUGAGUGAUAACGGC